AAUUUAAGCAUAUAAGUAAGCGGAGGACAAGAAACUAAAUAGGAUUCCCCCAGUAAUGGCGAAUGAACAGGGAAGAGCUCAGCAUGGAAAUCGGGGCCUCCCGGCCUUGAAUUGUAGUCUUGAGAUGUACUGCCAACGGAGGCGCAGAUGUAAGCCUCUUGGAAAAGAGCAUCAACGAGGGUGAGAGUCCCGUUUGUCAUCUGCAGUCCCCCGUGCACGGUGUACAUUCUAAGAGUCACGUUCCUCGGGAUUGGAGCGCAAAGUGGGUGGUAAAUUUCAUCUAAAGCUAAAUAUUGGUUCGAGACCGAUAGCAAACAAGUACCAUGAGGGAAAGGUGAAAAGGACUUUGAAAAGAGAGUUAAAAGUGCCUGAAAUUGCUGAAAGGGAAGCGAAUGGAACCAGUGUUCUUGAUGAGAUUGUCGCGUACUCUGGUGAUUGCUGGGUGCUCCACCGCAAGGGGGGCAUUUGGUUUUGAGCUAGAUGUGCGUGGUGUUUCUUGUCUUGUGUGUCACCGUCGGUGCACGAGCGAGUAAACCUCCAGGGAGAUGGUAACUCGUCUGCGGAUGAGUGAAUGUCUUUGGUAGUACUCAUUUGUGUAUCGAUCCCUGCGUGUCUGGUUGCAGUGUUUGAGUCGUCUGGAAGCUUCUGAAAGGCUUGCCCUCGAUGAACUUUCUGGGCUCCUUGAGCAUCUCCC
This 694-nucleotide ribosomal RNA is filed under the name Azadinium poporum. RNAcentral's name for it is "eukaryotic LSU rRNA". It matches the Rfam family "Eukaryotic large subunit ribosomal RNA", at positions 31 to 619 of the family's 3401-position model. Lineage: Eukaryota; Dinophyceae; Gonyaulacales; Amphidomataceae. The record is from RNAcentral.